AUUGAACGCUGGCGGCAGGCUUAACACAUGCAAGUCGAGCGAGCGGCGGACGGGUGAGUAAUAUCUGGGAAACUGCCCACUGGAGGGGGAUAACUACUGGAAACAGUAGCUAAUACCGCAUACCAUCAGAUCUGCCCAGAUGGGAUUAUCUAGUUGGUGGGGUAAUGGCUCACCCAGGCGACGAUCCCUAGCUGGUCUGAGAGGAUGACCAGCCAAACUGGAACGGAGACACGGUCCAGACUCCUACGGGAGGCAGCAGUGGGGAAUAUUGCACAAUGGGGGCAACCCUGAUGCAGCCAUGCCGCGUGUGUGAAGAAGGCCUUCGGGUUGUAAAGCACUUUCAGCGAGGAGGCGUUACCGGCAGAAGAAGCACCGGCUAACUCCGUGCCAGCAGCCGCGGUAAUUC
Molecule: ribosomal RNA, 406 nt
Filed under: uncultured bacterium
Lineage: Bacteria
Description: partial 16S ribosomal RNA
Rfam family: Bacterial small subunit ribosomal RNA
Source: RNAcentral